GGGUGCGAUCAUACCAGCAGUAAUGCACCGAAUCCCAUCAAAACUCUGCAGUUAAGUUUGCUUGGGCGAGAGUAGUACUAAGAUGGGUGACCUCCUGGGAAGUCCUCGUGUUGCACCCC
This 119-nucleotide ribosomal RNA is filed under the name Gossypium raimondii (Peruvian cotton). The record is from RNAcentral. Lineage: Eukaryota; Viridiplantae; Streptophyta; Magnoliopsida; Malvales; Malvaceae.